Molecule: non-coding RNA, 28 nt
Filed under: Rattus norvegicus (Norway rat)
Lineage: Eukaryota; Metazoa; Chordata; Mammalia; Rodentia; Muridae
Source: RNAcentral
UGGAGAAGAUGCCACUGUGUUUUAUGGA